UGUUUAUAUAGCUCAGUUGGUAGAACAUGAGUCUCUUAAUCUCAGGGUUGUGGGUUCGGGUCCCACAUAGGACAA
This is a non-coding RNA of Podarcis lilfordi (Lilford's wall lizard), 75 nucleotides long. Lineage: Eukaryota; Metazoa; Chordata; Lepidosauria; Squamata; Lacertidae. The record is from the annotation of a GenBank genome assembly.